GUGCUCGCUUCGGCAGCACAUACACUAAAAUUGGAAUGAUACAGAGAAGAUUAGCAUGGCCCCUGUACAAGGAUGACAUGCAAAUUCGUGAAGCGUUCCAUAUUUAA
This 107-nucleotide small nuclear RNA is filed under the name Ochotona princeps (American pika). Lineage: Eukaryota; Metazoa; Chordata; Mammalia; Lagomorpha; Ochotonidae. The record is from RNAcentral.